CUUGUUUUCUGAGUGGUUGUAGCACUGCGCUUCAGAGAUGGCUGCUCUUUAAUUAGUUUGCUACUGUUUAUGAAGGGAAGACCUAGAUAAAGAUGGAGGCAAGAUAGAAACGGGAAUAUUUCACUCAGCCUUAUUUUGGAAUUCCAAAGACUGUUGGGAAAAAUCACAUCAUCCAAGAUGAAGAACAAGAAGCUAACUCUUGGAAGCCACAAGAGUUUGUAACAAAGGAGAUGACGUGGGAAACCUUGUGCCCCUCUUCUCCUGGGUGACAUCAAGAGCGUUGCCAAACCUACCAUGUCAAAAGUACUCCAGAUUGUGAGGAUAUUUCACCGAAGGAAUGAGAACAAAUCAACUACAAGCCUGCAUGGAAAAAGCACACAAAUUUUAGAUGUCAAUCUCCAAUUACCAGUGACCAAAAGGGCAAAGGACCCCACUCCAGUGCCACACUCAAUAUUCCUCACCGGACACUGCAGAAUCAAACUUUGAGUCUUGGUUCCCACUGCUCAGUGCCAUGCAUGAUCUCUGUACCUCUCCAAGUGCACAAAGCAGGAAUGUAAGACAUGAGAAGAGUAACAUUAUGGUAACUGCACAAAUGAACACGACUAGAAUAACGCUAGAAGUGAGGCGAAUUAGGUCUCAUGAGUAUAAAUUUUGAGCUAAAGAAUUAAUUUAUGUUUG
Molecule: long non-coding RNA, 678 nt
Organism: Athene cunicularia (burrowing owl)
Lineage: Eukaryota; Metazoa; Chordata; Aves; Strigiformes; Strigidae
Exons: 5
Source: RefSeq, a predicted model, not a curated record